Molecule: ribosomal RNA, 644 nt
Filed under: uncultured soil bacterium
Lineage: Bacteria
Description: bacterial SSU rRNA
Rfam family: Bacterial small subunit ribosomal RNA
Source: RNAcentral
GAGUUUGAUCCUGGCUCAGGAUGAACGCUGGCGGCGUGCUUAACACAUGCAAGUCGAACGGUAACAGGAAGUAGCUUGCUACUUUGCUGACGAGUGGCGCACGGGUGAGUAAUAUAUAGUUAAUGUGCCCCAAAGACCGGGAUAGCCACUGGAAACGGUGAUUAAUACUGGAUACACCUUCAUAUCACAAGGUAUGAAGGGAAAUGUUUUUUCGCUUUGGGAUCAGACUAUAUCCUAUCAGUUAGUUGGUGAGGUAAGAGCUCACCAAGGCGAUGACGGGUAGCGGGUUUGAGAGGAUGAUCCGCCACACUGGUACUGAGACACGGACCAGACUCCUACGGGAGGCAGCAGUGAGGAAUAUUGCACAAUGGGGGGAACCCUGAUGCAGCAACGCCGCGUGGAGGAUGACGCAUUUCGGUGUGUAAACUCCUUUUAUAUGUCAAGAAAAUGACGGUAGCAUAUGAAUAAGCACCGGCUAACUCCGUGCCAGCAGCCGCGGUAAUACGGAGGGUGCAAGCGUUACUCGGAAUCACUGGGCGUAAAGGACGCGUAGGCUGGUUGAAAAGUCAGGUGUGAAAGCCUACAGCUUAACUGUAGAACUGCACUUGAAACUCUCAAUCUAGAGUAUGGGAGGGGGAGAUGGA